Molecule: long non-coding RNA, 611 nt
Organism: Glossina fuscipes
Lineage: Eukaryota; Metazoa; Arthropoda; Insecta; Diptera; Glossinidae
Exons: 3
Source: RefSeq, a predicted model, not a curated record
UUUUAAAAGUUUGCCAAAAACUCGCGUUUACGCAUAACGCAAACUACAUGUUAACUACACUCAAGUACAUACGGUCAACUUUAUUUUAACAAGUCAUAACCACACACAACGCUUAACGCAGUGAUUGCGUGGAGUGCUUCAUUAAGGCAAAAUAAAAAUGAAACAACCCGUAUGCUGGACAUUUGUUGAAGUAUGCAUACAUGUGUGCCUAAUACAGAAAAUGAUAGCGUUCUGCUCGGUAACAAGAGAUUAAAGUUCUCUACCUGGUGACAAGACAAGACUGGUGAAACUGCGCUUAUAACGAAAAGAAAUAUAUAUAUAUAUGAAAAACAGCGAACACAUAAGUAAAGGGUUAACAAAACGUAUUUGUAAACAAGGCCAUGCUAACGCAAUGCGAGCAUAUAUAAUUUAAUAAGUUAGAAAAGAUUAAGCUAUGAUUUCAGUAAGGGAGCAAACCGCUUUUUUACAACCAAAUGGAAACGGUGAAAAAUUUAACUGUAAACGCGUACGAUGCAAUAAGUAUUCACACAAUGAUAAUGCGAUUUUGGAAAAGUUGUCAUAGAACCUAAAUGAAUUGAAUUUUAAAGAUUAUUAAAUCUAUGUAAAUGGUA